Long non-coding RNA from Herpailurus yagouaroundi (jaguarundi), 1277 nucleotides. RefSeq lists it as uncharacterized. The record is from RefSeq and is a predicted model, not a curated record. The transcript has 7 exons. NCBI's taxonomy places the organism in Eukaryota, Metazoa, Chordata, Mammalia, Carnivora, Felidae.
CAGCCAGCGCUCUCUAGAAUAUCUAGUUUGAAAGAAAACUGAGAAGUGUCACCUCCAGGACGAUGUGACAAUCUGUAUGCAGAACAGGUGAAAACAAAAUACUAGGAGAGAAUCCUACAAUUUAAAUAAAGCAUUGAAUGGUUCCCUUUAAGAUAGUUUAGAUGCUAACCUGUUUACAGGACAACUUCAAAACAACUGGGGAUUAACACUGCUCCAUUCCCCUCCCCCAGGCUCAUCUGAAUUCUAAGUAUAGACCCAUGAUGAAAGAUUUCAAAGGCAAUAGCCAUUGCUCCAAAAUAGCCUGGUUAGUAUUUGCAGAGUGGUUCAGCUCUUUUCUCUGUCCUGCCUGUCAAAAAGAUGCCAUUCCUGUGAUUAAAACUAUUACAGUCCUUCAAAGGUUAUACAUGACUUUCAGGCUUCAGCCUCAAUAGCAGCAGAUGGUACUAAUUUGAACACAUCAUUCCAUGCUUCCUGGAGUAAUCACACAGCUUGCUUAGAUUUUCUAAACAUGACUGAACUGUGAUGAAGCGAUCAACAUUCACUGGCAAGCAAAACUGCCUUACAGGGUGAAACACUGUGGUGAAAAUGCCCACAGCAAAGAUUCUUACUUAGAACCAUUAAAUGUAUCCCCAUGUAUGAACUUCUGCUUUGAAGAAGGUGGAAGAGAUGUUUUAAUCCUACUCCUUCCACUAAAUGCAAUUAAAACCAUGGACAUUAAAUAUAAUGCAAGCAUAAGAAGACUCUGAAAGAUGGAGAGAAGGCAGAGCAACUAGGGAAAUCAGGACCCAAGAAACAAUACAGUGGCAACUAUAAUGGCUUUUACACUUUCAGCAAUUACUUACUGUUCUCUAAGACUCUGCUCCUGUCCAAUAAUCAAGAUCAUUUUACCUGAUGCUAAAACACCUGAUGCAGACCAUCUGCCUGGAUUUGAACAUAUUUCCUUCUGCCAGAUUUUGCAUAGCAAUGGUCUGCUACCCACCUUCUGGGGAAAUACCUAUCACUCCUUUUGGACCUCUUUGACACUGCCUGUCCUGGAUGCGACAUAUCACCAGCAAUCAGAGUUCAUGGCUGCUUAAAAAGAUACAAAGAAGUAAGAAUGGACAGUGUUAUAAUCAACAGGCAGUCAACAGUUUCUAUUAAGUUGCCAGAUUGAAGGAAAGACGCAUAAAUCUUCAGAGAACAGAGAACAGCCAUCUCUGUGAGCAACCUGCAGCUCUGAUGAGUCACUCCCUCCAUGCAUGAGAAGGCCUAUGUUUGACACUGCUAUAAUCUUUUGG